AUACGGAGGGUGCAAGCGUUACUCGGAAUCACUGGGCGUAAAGGACGCGUAGGCGGGUUGGCAAGUCAGAUGUGAAAUCCUACAGCUUAACUGUAGAACUGCAUUUGAAACUGCUAACCUAGAGUAUGGGAGGGGGAGAUGGAAUUAGUGGUGUAGGGGUAAAAUCCGUAGAUAUCACUAGGAAUACCGAAAGCGAAGGCGAUCUCCUGGAACAUAACUGACGCUAAGGCGUGAAAGCGUGGGGAGCAAACAGGAUUAGAAACCCUAGUAGUCC
Molecule: ribosomal RNA, 274 nt
Filed under: uncultured bacterium
Lineage: Bacteria
Description: partial 16S ribosomal RNA
Rfam family: Bacterial small subunit ribosomal RNA
Source: RNAcentral